AGGAUUCUCCCCAGUAACGGCGAGUGAACGGAGAUUAGCCCAUCACCGAAGUCUAUUCACGUUUGUGGACAAGACAAUGUGGUGUUCGGGCGUGCACCUGGGAAUGCUUGCCUACCCGAAGUCCAGCUCCGAUUAUGGCUUGGACCAUGCCCACAGCGGGUGAAAGGCCCGUACGGGUAGGAUGUGUUGUUUUUUGGCAUUCCUCAGAUGUGCAUGCUUUCGAGUCGGAUUGCUUGAGAAUGCAGUCCAAAGUGGGUGGUAAACUCCAUCCAAGGCUAAAUACUGGCACGAGUCCGAUAGUAGACAAGUACCGUGAGGGAAAGUUGAAAAGUACUCUGAAGAGAGAGUAAAUAGUACGUGAAGCCGCUUGCAGGGAAGCUGGUGGAGUCAAGCUUCAUGCCUGUGAAUUUGUUAUCAGGAAACAUUGAUGGUUGUUGGGAUCAUGACACUGACGGACCUGGAAAUGGUUUGUCGCAUUAACCGUGCGAUUCAAGCGUUACCGGGCUGUAGUGUUUGUGUCGGUGUCAUUUGAUCUCCCUUUCCUGGUACUGAAUUUCGCAAAAGGCAUACAUCACGAUCAAUAACGACUCGAAAUGUGUGAUUGUUUAACCGCGCCUGAUCGGGCAUUCGUGUCUAUCGGGCGUGGAACGGCAGGUGGCAUGUGGAGGUCUCGCUAUCUUCAUCAUGCUUAUUGAUGGUUUCGAUCUGCUAACAAUCAUGUUGUUGUAUUUUCACAUUAUCGGUCUUAUUGCUCUUUCGCGGGGGGUGUUCCUCGGAACGCCUCUCACUGAGAAUCGUGAUGCUGAGGUAGA
RNAcentral lists this ribosomal RNA (812 nucleotides) under Dactylogyrus quanfami. RNAcentral's name for it is "eukaryotic LSU rRNA". It matches the Rfam family "Eukaryotic large subunit ribosomal RNA", at positions 71 to 611 of the family's 3401-position model. The record is from RNAcentral. Lineage: Eukaryota; Metazoa; Platyhelminthes; Monogenea; Dactylogyridea; Dactylogyridae.